CUCUUCAUGAUGGUAUGCACUGAAAUUCGCAUUAGGUGAGACCCACAAGUUCAUUUGACAUUUGCCAUAAUCAUCCCUUAAAUGAAAAUGACUAAAAUGUCUUCAUUAAUUUGCAUCAUGGUCCAUGCUUUUCGUUUUAUAUGCUUCUGCAAGUAAAGGGCAUUUAUCUUUACAGGCCUCGCUCAACCAGGUCCAUAUGCAUAUGAUGGUGGAGCUCACUUAAUCGUGUGUUACACCGCUAUCCCCCAGGAUCCCAGCCAAGCAAAUUGGGCCCACCAAACAUUCAUGGCUCACUUAUUCUUAGGUAAGCUGGUGGUGUACCACUUCCAGGAUUGGCCUUCCCAACCUAAAACCUCUCAUUUGAUGAUCAAUUUGUUUGCUUUCAGGAAAGCAUAGUCCAGCCAAUAAUGUGCCUGUGUGCAUGGUUCACCUCAAACAAAUCCAGAAAUUUGCCAAGUCUUGUUUUACAUUAACCAGCAGUCACCCGUUGCCCUGAAACUAACUUCUUUAGUGACAAAUUUGAACCUGAAUACAAACAGGUUUGUAUGAUUAAAAGCUAGUGAGAAAGGCGAGUGAAAAAUAACAAACCAAAACUAAGAAAUCAAGUAGACAUAUAGCAGAAAUAUGAACUGCCAUGCCUACAUGCUUGAAACCAAGGCCAUAUCAACAGAUCAAGUAUGUGAGCUGGAACAUGAUUUGAGUGAUGAAAAACAAAUGAUUAUGGGUGUUAUUUAUUCUAAGAUAACAUUUGGGUCCUGCAUUUGUUCCUACUAGACAACAAUUUCCAGGUGUUAUUAGUAGUAAUCCCAAAUGUCAAGAAAACUAAACAAUUUUCACAUCAAUGGCAACCCCUUAGGGUCUGAAAAGCUUGGUCGGCGCAAUCAUUCAAGUGAACCAUUGAAUUCUGAAUUCCUUGCAUUGGAGUGAAUACAAGAGAGAGCAAUAUCAGUUUCAUCCUUAAUCAGGUUUUUUAAAUUAUUUAAUGAGAGCAAAAUUUGCAACUAAUAGAUUUUGGUAAUAUAAAUUCAUUAGUCAUAAUUGUAUUCUCCUGAAGAAGGGGAUACUCAAAAUAUUACCAAUAUGAUCAGGACACCAAAAGAUUAACUGGACUGGAAAUUGAGAACAAAGAAAAUGAAAAAGAAACAGGACUGAGGAAUAGAAUAGAAGCUUAAUACAAAUUCCCAAUGCAAUUUAGAAGAUUCUAUGAAAUAAUAAACUGUAAUUUUUUUUUCUGAAAUGACAUAUGCACUUGUUUGCCAUAUCAGAGUAAAGCAAACUACUACAAAGUAGCUAAUCUGUCAUCCGAAAAAUAAGAAGUAGAGGACAAACAAAUCUAAAUAUACAAACCUCUGCAAGAAUUUCUACUGAAAGAACUUCCAUUUCUUCUCACAAUCCUGAGACUGGUGCAAGCCUCGGAUGUUCACCUUACCAGCACAUCCCUGUAUCAGAUUCAUCUCAUGAAGCCAUUUGUAUGUAACUGAAAAAAAAAUUAAAAAAAAUGCUGUAUUAGAUUCAUGAAAACGACCCAAGGAGCACAACCAACGAGGCACCCUUUAUGAGAUUGUUAAAUUUUGAAUGGUAGCCUUUCAUUGUUAAAUUUGACUCCUAGUAUUUCAUGCAAGGAAAUGCAUUUGUUCCCAAAAAAAAUAACCCGGUCAACACAGGUUUAAGAUCAAAGUAUUGCUUUAAAUUUCAAUUGUUUAUGAUAAAUAAGAGUGUAGAAAUCAACAACCCAAAAUUUUUUCCAUAUUUUCCUUCUAAAAACAAACUUAAGAUUAAGAAGUUGGUGAUGCUUAUGUCUCACCCAUCAAAGGACCAAAGAAAAAAAAAAUCAACCUCUGGUUCUUGCAUCUCAAAACUAUGCAACUAAAAUAUAAUUGUGUGAAUAAAUAUAAUAGAACAAGGGCUCCCCCU
This 1914-nucleotide long non-coding RNA is filed under the name Vitis vinifera (wine grape). Its description in RNAcentral is "long non-coding RNA (VVIN_LNC002597)". Lineage: Eukaryota; Viridiplantae; Streptophyta; Magnoliopsida; Vitales; Vitaceae. The record is from RNAcentral.